Leopardus geoffroyi (Geoffroy's cat) is the source of this 574-nucleotide long non-coding RNA. RefSeq lists it as uncharacterized. The record is from RefSeq and is a predicted model, not a curated record. The transcript is spliced from 2 exons. NCBI's taxonomy places the organism in Eukaryota, Metazoa, Chordata, Mammalia, Carnivora, Felidae.
CCCAAGACCCUUGGAAAGCCCUGCAUCUUCAGAGCCUUGGUUGGAAGCAGAGAAGUCAAGAUUUCUCAUUUCCCAGUAAGAAUUUAUGUUCUCUUUAGUACAAAAAGCAAAAUUAAAUCCUGGAAGUUUUCCCGCUGCCAGAGCCUAGCAGUGCUGCGCUGAGUGUUUCACUCUGCAACAUCUCAUCGCCUCCUCGCGGCGCACCAUGACUUCAUACUCUUUGCACUUGUCUUUAAAUUACCCUUGGGCAUUUCAGUGCUGCCCACUGCUCCUUCCUUCCUAGUGAAGAUUGAACUUCACUAAGAUGAGGGGCACUGUGCCAGGUAACCUUGAACUCCACCACGAGCAAAGGGUAACUCCUUGGACAGCUGAGGUGAGAGAAAGACCAGAGCACAGCAUCACCCAAAGACCUACGUUUGCAGACGAGGUGAGGCUGUUGAACAGACACCUGGAUGACCACCUUCUUACCAAUGUCAGUAUUGUCAUUUGCAAAAAUUGCCAGCUUUAUUAUGAAAAGCGACAGCUUAUCUUUGUUGCUUUUUAAUAAAUAAGAUUAAAAGUUUAAAAAUAUUCA